GAACAUCACAGCAAGUCUGUGCU
Molecule: microRNA, 23 nt
Filed under: Mus musculus (house mouse)
Lineage: Eukaryota; Metazoa; Chordata; Mammalia; Rodentia; Muridae
Also listed under: 1 other name
Description: mmu-miR-499-3p
Gene: mmu-miR-499-3p
Source: miRBase by way of RNAcentral